AAGAAUAAAAAAUACAAAACAAGUUCAAAGCCCAAAAACAAAUGAGAAACAUACCCAAAGAAAAUAAAACAACAAAACAAAAACAAACCCAACCACAAACUUCAAAAAGAAAAAAGAAUAUGAAAAGUCAUUCUUUAUCUUAGCACCUAGACUUCAUCAAAUCACUAUUAAAUUCCCAUUAAAUACACCUACCAGAUACCCAAGAAAUAGCAGUUUCCAAAACAAAAAAUCAAAACCUUGGUCUACUAUUCUUUGUUUUCCAAAAACCUUUCCCUCUCCAACCUCAAUUUGGGGUCCGUUGUCUUCUCCUCUCUUCCGCCCUGCGCACGAAAUCCGGGACUCUACCACUCAAGUAAAUAUCUUCCCCCAUUAUCAAGCUUUCUUUAACCAAAUGAUGAGCAAGAGAAUUUGCCGAUAUUGAAAUGUGCCUAAAAAUAAUAUGUUUAAAGUUCUUUUUAUAUUGUUGAAUGUUUUUAGUAAUGGAUCCUAUCUCCAAUUUAUCCUCACUAUUUGAGUUGGCUUUCUUUUUUGUUGUCAAUGAGCCCUUUUCGAUUAUCGCACACUCUAUCCUCAUGGGAAUACCUAGUUGCAACGCCUGAACACACGCCUGUGUUUUAGCAGCAAACGAAGAAGAGAUUGCUUUAUGACCCAUGACCAUGGAAACUAAUAUUUCCCCCAGUGGGUUCCUCACCACCACUCCGACCCAGAUCUUGCAUGCUGAGGGUCAUAGGCCCCAUCAAAGUUAAUUUUAAAGAAUAGUUCAUAAGGGGGUUCCCACAUAUCAAAAUCUCUCGUUUGGGCAAUUCCGGCUUGUCUAGAGUGUCCAAAGCCCACAAUAGAAGAUUCUACAUUGCUCAGUGGUAGCAAUCUGAAACACUCAGUUAACAAAGAACCCAAGACAUCGACGCACAAAGGAAA
Long non-coding RNA from Gossypium arboreum, 918 nucleotides. RefSeq lists it as uncharacterized. NCBI's taxonomy places the organism in Eukaryota, Viridiplantae, Streptophyta, Magnoliopsida, Malvales, Malvaceae. The record is from RefSeq and is a predicted model, not a curated record. The transcript is spliced from 3 exons.